AACGAACGCUGGCGGCAGGCUUAACACAUGCAAGUCGAACGGUCUCUUCGGAGGCAGUGGCAGACGGGUGAGUAACGCGUGGGAAUCUACCUAGUUCUACGGAACAACAGAGGGAAACUUCUGCUAAUACCGCAUACGCCCUACGGGGGAAAGGGGGGGAUCUUCGGACCUCUCGCUAUCAGAUGAGCCCAUGUCGGAUU
This 200-nucleotide ribosomal RNA is filed under the name uncultured bacterium. RNAcentral's name for it is "partial 16S ribosomal RNA". It matches the Rfam family "Bacterial small subunit ribosomal RNA", at positions 29 to 242 of the family's 1533-position model. The record is from RNAcentral.